GUACUGUGCAAACGUUAUUCGGAAUCACUGGGCUUAAAGGGUGCGUAGGCGGUUGAUUAAGUAGGGUGUGAAAGCUCUCGGCCUAACCGAGGAAUUGCGCUCUAAACUGAUCAACUUGAGUGAGAUAGGGGUGUGCGGAACUUCCAGUGGAGCGGUGAAAUGUGUUGAUAUUGGAAGGAACGCCGGUGGCGAAAGCGGCACACUGGGUCUCAACUGACGCUGAGGCACGAAAGCCAGGGUAGCGAACGGGGGAUUAGAUACCCCGGUAGUCCUGGCUGUAAACGAUGAGCACUAGACGGGAGGGGCUUCGGCCCCAUCCGGUCGCAGCGAAAGCAAUAAGUGCUCCGCCUGGGGAGUAUGGUCGCAAGGCUG
This 372-nucleotide ribosomal RNA is filed under the name uncultured organism. Its description in RNAcentral is "partial 16S ribosomal RNA". It matches the Rfam family "Bacterial small subunit ribosomal RNA", at positions 527 to 896 of the family's 1533-position model. The record is from RNAcentral.